RNAcentral lists this ribosomal RNA (468 nucleotides) under uncultured Desulfuromonas sp. RNAcentral's name for it is "bacterial SSU rRNA". It matches the Rfam family "Bacterial small subunit ribosomal RNA", at positions 928 to 1382 of the family's 1533-position model. The record is from RNAcentral. Lineage: Bacteria; Pseudomonadati; Thermodesulfobacteriota; Desulfuromonadia; Desulfuromonadales; Desulfuromonadaceae.
GACGGUGGAGCAUGUUACGUUUAGUUACGACGCAACGCGUAAGAACCUUACCUGGGCUUGACAUUCCCGAUCGUACCUGCGUGGAAACGAGCGGGGUCGAGUUCGGCUGGAUCGGAGACAGGUGCUGCAUGGCUGUCGUCAGCUCGUUGUCGUGAGAUGUUGGGUUAAGUCCCGCAACGAGCGCAACCCUUGUCCUUUAGUUGCCAUCAUUUUAGUUGGGCACUCUAAGGAGACUGCCGGUGUUAAACCGGAGAAGGUGGGGAUGACGUCAAGUCCUCAUGGCCCCCUAUGUCCAGGGCUACACACGUGCUACAAUGGCCGGUACAAAGGGCAGCAAAGCCGCGAGGUGGAGCCAAUCCCAGAAAGCCGGUCUCAGUUCGGAUUGGAGUCUGCAACUCGACUCCAUGAAGUUGGAAUCGCUAGUAAUCGCGGAUCAGCAUGCCCGCGGUGAAUACGUUCCCGGGCCUU